GUCCACGCCGUAAACGAUGGGUACUAGGCGUCGGGGGGAGCGACCCCCUCGGUGCCGUCGCUAACGCAGUAAGUACCCCGCCUGGGGAGUACGGUCGCAAGACUGAAACUCAAAGGAAUUGACGGGGGCCCGCACAAGCGGUGGAGCAUGUGGUUUAAUUCGAAGCAACGCGAAGAACCUUACCUGGGCUUGACAUGCACGGGAAAGCCGGUGGAAACAUCGGCCCCUUUUCGGAGCUCGUGCACAGGUGCUGCAUGGCUGUCGU
This 265-nucleotide ribosomal RNA is filed under the name uncultured bacterium. RNAcentral's name for it is "partial 16S ribosomal RNA". It matches the Rfam family "Bacterial small subunit ribosomal RNA", at positions 793 to 1055 of the family's 1533-position model. The record is from RNAcentral.